CGCCUUGCCAGCCCGCUCAGAAACUCAAAUGAAGUUGACGGGGGCCCGCACAAGCGGUGGAGUAUGUGGUUUAAUUCGAUGCAACGCGAAGAACCUUACCUGGUCUUGACAUCCCGGAGACCCUUAGGAAACUAGGGGGUGCUUCCAUCUGGAAGAAUCUGGAGACAGGUGCUGCAUGGCUGUCGUCAGCUCGUGUCGUGAGAUGUUGGGUUAAGUCCCGCAACGAGCGCAACCCUUGCCUUUAGUUGCCAGCAGUUCGGCUGGGCACUCUAAAGGGACUGCCGGUGUUAAACCGGAGGAAGGUGGGGAUGACGUCAAGUCCUCAUGGCCUUUACGGCCUGGGCUACACACGUGCUACAAUGGUCGGUACAAAGGGUUGCCAAGCCGCGAGGUGGAGCUAAUCCCAUAAAACCGAUCGUAGUCCGGAUCGCAGUCUGCAACUCGACUGCGUGAAGUCGGAAUCGCUAGUAAUCGUGAAUCAGAAUGUCACGGUGAAUACGUUCCCGGGCCUU
Molecule: ribosomal RNA, 512 nt
Filed under: uncultured Desulfobulbus sp.
Lineage: Bacteria; Pseudomonadati; Thermodesulfobacteriota; Desulfobulbia; Desulfobulbales; Desulfobulbaceae
Description: bacterial SSU rRNA
Rfam family: Bacterial small subunit ribosomal RNA
Source: RNAcentral